RNAcentral lists this ribosomal RNA (253 nucleotides) under uncultured bacterium. RNAcentral's name for it is "partial 16S ribosomal RNA". It matches the Rfam family "Bacterial small subunit ribosomal RNA", at positions 524 to 776 of the family's 1533-position model. The record is from RNAcentral.
UACGGGAGGUGCGAGCGUUGUUCGGAAUGACUGGGCGUAAAGCGCACGUAGGCGGGUCUUUAAGUCGUAUGUGAGAGCCCCGGGCUUAACCCGGGAAUUGCAUUCGAAACUGUAGAUCUUGAAUGCUUGAGAGGUUGAUGGAAUUCUAGGUGUAGGAGUGAAAUCCGUAGAUAUCUAGAGGAACACCAGAGGCGAAGGCGGUCAACUGGCGAUGCAUUGACGCUGAGGUGCGAAAGCGUGGGUAGCAAACAGG